RNAcentral lists this transfer RNA (72 nucleotides) under Heterocephalus glaber (naked mole-rat). It matches the Rfam family "tRNA". From Rfam's summary of the family: Transfer RNA (tRNA) molecules are approximately 80 nucleotides in length. Their secondary structure includes four short double-helical elements and three loops (D, anti-codon, and T loops). The record is from Rfam by way of RNAcentral. Lineage: Eukaryota; Metazoa; Chordata; Mammalia; Rodentia; Bathyergidae.
GGAGGUGUAGCUCAGUGGUAGAGCUUAUGCUUAGCACGCCCAAAAUCCUGGGAUCAAUCCCCAGCACCACAA